This is a long non-coding RNA of Antechinus flavipes (yellow-footed antechinus), 1340 nucleotides long. RefSeq lists it as uncharacterized. The record is from RefSeq and is a predicted model, not a curated record. NCBI's taxonomy places the organism in Eukaryota, Metazoa, Chordata, Mammalia, Dasyuromorphia, Dasyuridae. The transcript is spliced from 4 exons.
AGAAAGGAAGGAAGAAAGGAAGAAAGGAAGGAAGAAGGGAAAGAAGAAGGGAAGGAAGGAAGGAAGAAAGAAAGAAAAUAAGGAAGGAAGAAAGAAAGAAAAAGAAAGAAAGGAAGGAAGGAAGGAAGGAAGGAAGGAAGAAAGAAAGGAAGGAUGGAAGGAAAAGAAGAAAGAAAAAGAAGAAAGAUAAGGGAAGGGAAGAAGGAAGGAAGGAAGAAGAAAAAAGGGAGGGAGGGAGGAGGGGAAAACAAGCAUUUAUUAAGGACCUUUUAUGUAUGAAGCACUGUAUGUACUAAAUCCUUUGUAAAUAUCAUUUGAUCCUCAUAACAAUUCUGGGAGGUUAAGUACUACUAUUGUACCUACUUUAUAUUUAAGGAAACUGAAAGAGAUAAAAGUGACCUACCCAGGGUCACACAACUAGUUAUGUGUCUGAAGUAAAAUUUGAACUCAAAUCUCCCUGAUGCCAGGCCCAUGCUCUAUUCACUAUGCCACCUUGAAUCCCAUUUUUGCCCAUUCCUUUUUGUAUAAUUCUCAGCAAAUUCUCAUUUUUCUAGGUCUCAAUAUUUUUUAAUCUGUUGAAGGAAGAAAUUGGACCAGAUCACCUCUAAGGCCCUCCUACCUUUCAGUGUACGAUCCUGUUAUAAGAUUCAGAAAUUAGGUGAUAGUUAUUACCUUUUUCAAAAGAACAUGAUCCUCUCAGAUACUGGAGAAUACAUUUGCUCUGCAAAGAAUGCAGUGGGAAAAGUGAAUUGUUCAGCAAGCAUCAUAGUUACAGGGAAAAAGAGAAGAAAUGUGAGGUAUAACUGAGGCAAAAAUUGAAAAUGGACCUAAGUUUUUACUGGAAUGUACAACCACAAAUAGAGAGGAGCAAGGUCCAGCUACAAUCGUCAGUCAAAUGUCAAUGAUAAAACAGUUUUCAGUGAGGUUUUUGCUAUUGUUUUUUAUAGAGAUGACAGAACUGAGAUAUGAAGAAAAUGUCAACGAGAAUGGCCACUUGAUAUGGAAAGGACACAACAAAAGUAUCAGAAACAAGCUGAAUGAGAGAAUGUUUAACAGGAGAUAAAGACUGCCUGUGAAGUCAGAAGACCUGGAUUCAAUUCCUAACUCUUAGCAUAUUAGCUAUGUAACCCUAGACAAAGUACUUAACCUCCCAGUGCUUUAGGCCAGAGGUAUCAAAUAUAUAUGCAACACACAGAUGCAUAUGAUCCACAGCACUGCAAAUGAGGCCCAAAGCAGAUUAAAAAUAAUUGGGAAAUAUUUAAGAAAAAAUUUUAAAAUAUGAUACAACGUAAAUAAUGUUAAUUUAUGAUUUUCUAAGUCAAUAUAUAGAGUAUCUCAGA